GACGAACGCUGGCGGCGUGCUUAACACAUGCAAGUCGAUCGAUGAAGCCGGAGCUUGCUCUGGUGAAUUAGUGGCGAACGGGUGAGUAACACGUGAGUAACCUGCCCUUGACUUUGGGAUAACUGCUAGAAAUGGUAGCUAAUACCGGAUAGGACCACUGCCUGCAUGGGUGGUGGUGGAAAGCUUUUGCGGUGUGGGAUGGGCCCGCGGCCUAUCAGCUUGUUGGUGGGGUGAUGGCCUACCAAGGCGACGACGGGUAGCCGGCCUGAGAGGGUGACCGGCCACACUGGGACUGAGAUACGGCCCAGACUCCUACGGGAGGCAGCAGUGGGGAAUAUUGCACAAUGGGCGCAAGCCUGAUGCAGCGACGCCGCGUGAGGGAUGACGGCCUUCGGGUUGUAAACCUCUUUCAGCACCGACGAAGCGCAAGUGACGGUAGGUGCAGAAGAAGGACCGGCCAACUACGUGCCAGCCGCCGCGGUAA
RNAcentral lists this ribosomal RNA (484 nucleotides) under uncultured bacterium. RNAcentral describes it as "partial 16S ribosomal RNA". It matches the Rfam family "Bacterial small subunit ribosomal RNA", at positions 28 to 523 of the family's 1533-position model. The record is from RNAcentral.